Molecule: ribosomal RNA, 253 nt
Filed under: uncultured bacterium
Lineage: Bacteria
Description: partial 16S ribosomal RNA
Rfam family: Bacterial small subunit ribosomal RNA
Source: RNAcentral
UACGUAGGGAGCAAGCGUUGUCCGGAAUCAUUGGGCGUAAAGCGCGCGUAGGCGGCCCUGUAAGUCCGUUGUGAAAGUCAAAGGCUCAACCUUUGAAAGCCGAUGGAUACUGCAGGGCUAGAGUCCGGAAGAGGCGAGUGGAAUUCCUGGUGUAGCGGUGGAAUGCGCAGAUAUCAGGAGGAACACCAAUAGCGAAGGCAGCUCACUGGGACGGUACUGACGCUAAGGCGCGAAAGCGUGGGGAGCGAACAGG